Triticum aestivum (bread wheat) is the source of this 3168-nucleotide long non-coding RNA. RefSeq lists it as uncharacterized. The record is from RefSeq and is a predicted model, not a curated record. NCBI's taxonomy places the organism in Eukaryota, Viridiplantae, Streptophyta, Magnoliopsida, Poales, Poaceae. The transcript has 4 exons.
GUUUCAUACAUGCAUUGGUUCGAUGGUUGCCUCCUCGGUCGCGGGGGGCUGUGGUUGGCCGGCGUGGUGGUUGUUCUGCUACGUCUGCCGUGGUGUCCGCUCGGGGCGUAUGUAUGGAGGAGGCCGUUGUGUAGGGGUGGCCGCUCUGUACGGUCUUCGAGCUCUCCAUGCAUGUGGCCGCUUUGUACAGCCUUCCGGUUCUGGAUGCGCUGCGGAUUUUGUGGCGCGAUCUGGGUCUUGUUCUCUGUCGUCGGACUCUGCUGUUGGUGGUUCUGGUGGGCAGCGGAGGGAGGAGAUUCGGUUGGGAAAGCAGGCCUGUUGAUCCCACUCUCAAUCGACGACGAACAGCAGAGAAGCAAACCGGCGAAGCGAGCAGCACAUUGGGGGGAGGUGGUCACCUGCAAGUCAACCGCGCGACGGGUGAGCAGAGCGGCUCGCACCCGCGCCAGGGGAAAAGGAGGGGGCCGGAACCGUUGGCUGUGCGCCCUGGCCAUCAACGGCGACGAAUGGUGACGGGGUGGAUGUAGAUCACGAGGGAGCGGGAGCAAAUCGGUGAUGGAAAGCAUGAGCACGGAACCGCAAAUCACACGGCCAAGCAAAACACACGAGGAUGGCUAGCUGCUACAAGCCACGGGAUGAGAGCAAUGGGUUUGAGAGAUGCAGCAUACUCAAGGCCGACAAGGGAUUUUCACGAAAGGCGAGGACGAACUAAUUAAGCAAGGAAUUGCAUUGGUAAUGUUUCCCCCUACCCCAAACUUGAUUACUUCAGCAACAGUUCUUUUUGUUUACUUGAUAUAUAUGGUGCAAUUUCCAAAAGGUUUUUUAACCCGCAAUUAUUUUCAUUUAUAGAUGAUGAUUUCUUUUGAAGGGUUCCUAACUGAAUGUUGUACCCUCAACCGUGGCAAGCAAAAUUUUCAUGCAAUCAGCAUCACAAACAUUCAGUGGUAGUUAAUAGUCUAUAUCCUUGGUCACUCUCCAAACUUUACUAUUUCUCUCAAGAUUAAACCUAAUAUGACCAUAGCUAACAAAGAAGCUCUAAGUAGCGAGAAUCCGAGUUUUAAUAUAGCUGCUGCUAAUAUAUGAGAAGAAUGUGAGUACAGAAGAUCAUAAACUGAUCCAGUAAAGUAAUACUAUUAGUUUUAGGAUAUAUAUAUAUAUCUUCUCACGUUCUUCAAGUAGUCAGUUGUUGACUACAUUUGUAAUAUAGUAAGAUUUGUUUCAUUGCAUCGGAAGUCAUGCCAUAAAAUAUAUUCAAACUUCUCUACUGAUUCAAGUCGCUGCCAUGCUGUUAUAUAUUUCUUUUCUUCAUUAUGAUUAUUUGUAUAUGGCUUUCUUAGCAUUGAUAAAUUCACUGAUGUAACACUUCUAUUUUGAUUCAGCAAAAUCUGGUAUUGAUUAUUGUGGUGGCUUUUAGUAAGUAACUCUUCACAAUUUCAAUCCUUCUUAUCAUUGGUUGAGUGCAGGCUAAUGCAAACCCAUUAGCUACAACUCUUAGUAAUGCCAACACCUACGCGGCAUCACACAUGCAUGCACCAUGUAUCGUGAUAAUAAAUGUCUUCUUUCUAACUUCUCUUUUUGUGGCCACAAUCUCACACAUAUAAUACUCUUGCUUUAAAUUGAGUUUUACUGUAAACAAUAAAAACACUUCUUAUGAACGGAACUUAUCAAUGGGGCACGACGUGCCGCCGCGCGGGCAAUGUUAGUUGUAGCCAUCAGCCCAUCACACAAAAUGAUACUGAAAAUCAUUAACCAACAAUUUUAAUUACUGUAUAUUGAGAACUUCCAAAGCCUGCUUCAGCAAGAGUACUCCCACAACACAUUAUCGGCAAUACUCCCGUCGACAAUUUCAAUUACUAAGUGGCAUGUAAUACAAGACAAGAAAGUCUUCAAGAAUGUGAAAAUAUUCAGAUCACACAUUGUAGUGUGUAUGAAGACCACGGCAUACACCUCAUGGUGCAAUAACCAUGUGAUGCAUAUUCAACCACGUAAGUUGAGCAGAAAAUAAAGAAUCAUACAUUUGGAUAUUGUAGUGUGUCAAGGUACGGCCAUCCUCCAUUAUCUUGCCGCCAAAUAUGAGGCACUGUUGGCCAAGGGGGAAUGCCUUCCGUAGCCCAGAUCUUCUCCUUGACAUUAUAGACGGUAUCUGUGCUCCUCACCUCAAGAUUAUAGAAUUUACCUCGCAAAGUCUUCAUGCAGAUGUUCAUCGUCCCUGUUGGGCACCGGGCUGUGGAGGACGAGGAGGAGGGUGCUUUGGGAUGUUGAGGUCCGCCAGGGUCCUGCCUUUGUCGCCGUCAUCGUCAAGCUGUCUGUUGGCGAAGAUGAGGCACUGGGAUGGUCCUUGGGGAAGCCGUGCCACCGAUGAAUCUUGGCCUUGACAUUGUCGACGGUGUCUGAGCUUGUGACCGCGAGGUUCAUGGCCCUGCCCGUUAGCGUCUCGACCACAUGGAUCUGCAUCUUGUCAUGGAGUGGAUGCGGGCGGAGGCCAAGAGUUGAUCCGUCACGGACGCCGUAGUCGGCCAGCGUGCGGCCGUCCUCCAGCUGCUCCCCGUUGAAGGUGAGGCGCUGCUGAUCCUGGAUCUUGGCCUUGACAAUGAGUAAGUCCAAACUGAAGCAAAACAACAAAAAUAGGAUGCAUGCGAUAUUUUUCUUUCAUGGAGCAUCGGAGUGUGAGUUGCAAGCACGCAUGCAUCAGAUUUCUUUUGGGUUAAAACAAACAUUACACGUUUUGCAUGCAUGCUUCCGUUACUGCAUCCGCUUGGUGGAGGAGCUCUCAACCUGUAGAUCCAAUGGCUAUUGUGGACUGAUCUUGUGUAUCCAACGGCUAAAUUAAUUUGGAUGAUGUGGCGCAAGGAUAAGGCAGAGAAUUAUUUGUAGUGGGGGCUAGCUAUUUAGAUAUAGUAGAUAAGAACACCUGGUCUGACUCCGAGCCGGACUCUCUCUCUCUUUCUACUUUUUUCAAAAUCGAGCUAGACUCUCUGAAAUAACCUGUUCCGAUUACAACUUUUUUUAGCACUGUUCCGAUUACAACUCUGCUUUGUAGGCGAAAACGCACUGGAGCAGUUCUCUUUAUUUAUUUUGACUGGGCACUGGAGCUCGUACACGUCGCCCUAAUAAUUGGUGUAAAUUAUACAGUUCAAAAAAAAUUCUUGUAUUUUUUCUUUUGAUAAA